This 78-nucleotide transfer RNA is filed under the name Candidatus Tremblayella phenacoccinincola. RNAcentral's name for it is "Candidatus Tremblaya phenacola tRNA-Met". It matches the Rfam family "tRNA". From Rfam's summary of the family: Transfer RNA (tRNA) molecules are approximately 80 nucleotides in length. Their secondary structure includes four short double-helical elements and three loops (D, anti-codon, and T loops). Lineage: Bacteria; Pseudomonadati; Pseudomonadota; Betaproteobacteria. The record is from RNAcentral.
AGCGGAGUGGAGCAGUUUUGGUAGCUCAUCGGGCUCAUAACCCGAAGGUCGUUGGUUCAACUCCAACCUCCGCAACUA